CGCCCUUCCCCGGCCUUUGGGGUAAGAUCAAAGGUAGUAUCUGGUUUUUGAUCACUUAAAAUCUGGGGAAAGAUCCCCCCUGUGGGGCUAAAAUAUUAAAAUUAUUUUUUUGGAAAAAGGGGGAAGGGUAGGGGCUUGCUCCAACUUUUUCGAGGCCCGGGCCCCGAGCAGUGCCCCCUGGAUGGUCCACUCCCU
This is a small nuclear RNA of Penaeus monodon (black tiger shrimp), 195 nucleotides long. RefSeq annotates it as U2 spliceosomal RNA. The record is from RefSeq and is a predicted model, not a curated record. NCBI's taxonomy places the organism in Eukaryota, Metazoa, Arthropoda, Malacostraca, Decapoda, Penaeidae. The transcript has a single exon.